GCUUCAGUAGCUCAGUGGUAGAGCGCAUGCCUAGUAAGCAUGAGGUCGGGAGUUCAAAUCUCUCCUGAAGCU
RNAcentral lists this transfer RNA (72 nucleotides) under uncultured archaeon. RNAcentral describes it as "tRNA-Thr(agt)". It matches the Rfam family "tRNA". Rfam says of the family: Transfer RNA (tRNA) molecules are approximately 80 nucleotides in length. The record is from RNAcentral.